GAAGAGCUGUUGCUCAAGGGUUGAGCACCUGCUUUGCAUGCAGAAGGUCCUAGGAUCAAUCUCUGGCAUCUUCA
Podarcis lilfordi (Lilford's wall lizard) is the source of this 74-nucleotide non-coding RNA. NCBI's taxonomy places the organism in Eukaryota, Metazoa, Chordata, Lepidosauria, Squamata, Lacertidae. The record is from the annotation of a GenBank genome assembly.